UGAAAAGAUUUGAAGGUGAAGU
Molecule: non-coding RNA, 22 nt
Filed under: Rattus norvegicus (Norway rat)
Lineage: Eukaryota; Metazoa; Chordata; Mammalia; Rodentia; Muridae
Source: RNAcentral